UUCUCUUCUGCUGCCUAACAAACCACCCCCCAAAUUAGUGAUUGAAACAACGAUGACAUUUUUUUUCUCCACCCCCAAAUCUGCAACAAGGUCAGGGCUUGGCCAAAGCGAGCAUCUGUGCUUCACAUAUUAUCUGAAGCAGCUGGAUGGUGGCUGGUGGGAUCAUCUGCAGGCUGUGUACAUGCUGGGCGGAGGAUGCCGGCUGAUUGUCUAGAACCUCACCUGGAGCGCCUGGGUAGAAAACCCUCACCGAGGCUGCCUCACAUGCCCUGGGCUUUCUCACAUCAUGGUGGACAUGUUCCAGGGUCUGGUCAGUCUCACUGGAUUCCAGGCUACUGGUCUUCAACUCAAGGCUUCACAGAAUGGGACUAAGAGAAGCACCAACCCUAAUAAUCACAGGGGGCUCUGCUUCCUGCCCCGGUCAUCGCCUACACAACAAGCAAAACAAAACAAGCCCGAGUCCUGCAAACUGGACCCAAGAAGAAGACCAUAAUGACGGCCUUUCUCUCUAAGUGAUCCCAACAUGAGAUUCGGUGCAGAGCGGGCUUUCCGUGUUCCUGGUUCAGGGACUUCUGAGAAGCACCACAAUCAGAAGCACAGCCCCAGCAGAGAUUGCUGGACUCUUUCUUUCUUUUCUUAUUUUUUGUUGUUGAGUUUUUGUUUAUGAUUUGUUUUGUUUUGAGAUGAGGUCUCAAUCUGUUGCCCAGGCUGGUCUCAAACUUCCAGGCUCAAGAGAUCCUCCUUUCUCAGCCUCCCAUGUCGCUGGGAUUCCAGGCACACACCACCACACCUGGCUCUUGAGUGUUUUAGACACACGGACAAUUAAUCUGUAAGGCAAUGGGUGUGUUGAUCACUUUUAUCGUGGGGACCAUUUCACAAAAUACAGACAUAUUAAACAUCA
Molecule: non-coding RNA, 901 nt
Organism: Ictidomys tridecemlineatus (thirteen-lined ground squirrel)
Lineage: Eukaryota; Metazoa; Chordata; Mammalia; Rodentia; Sciuridae
Source: RefSeq, a predicted model, not a curated record